AUUUCCAGCUCCAAUAGCGUAUACUAAAGUUGUUGCAGUUAAAAAGCUCGUAGUUGAAUUUCUGGUCGUGGCGAUCGGUCCGCCCCUCACGGGGUGUGCACCUGGUCUCUACGUCCAUCCUCGGGGAGAGCAUGCCUGGCAUUCAGUUGUCGGGUAUGGGAUCCUCGUCAUUUACUGUGAGCAAAAUAGAGUGUUCAAAGCAGGCUUAGGCCGUUGAAUACAUUAGCAUGGAAUAAUAAGAUAGGACCUUGGUCUAUUUUGUUGGUUUGCAUUCCAAGGUAAUGAUUAAUAGGGAUAGUUGGGGGUAUUCGUAUUCAAUUGUCAGAGGUGAAAUUCUUGGAUUUAUGGAAGACGAACUACUGCGAAAGCAUUUACCAAGGAUGUUUUCAUCA
RNAcentral lists this ribosomal RNA (392 nucleotides) under Chrysophyceae sp. RNAcentral describes it as "partial small subunit ribosomal RNA". It matches the Rfam family "Eukaryotic small subunit ribosomal RNA", at positions 581 to 975 of the family's 1831-position model. The record is from RNAcentral. Lineage: Eukaryota; Chrysophyceae.